RNAcentral lists this transfer RNA (68 nucleotides) under Bos taurus (domestic cattle). It matches the Rfam family "tRNA". From Rfam's summary of the family: Transfer RNA (tRNA) molecules are approximately 80 nucleotides in length. Their secondary structure includes four short double-helical elements and three loops (D, anti-codon, and T loops). RNAcentral also lists the same sequence under 2 other names. The record is from Rfam by way of RNAcentral. Lineage: Eukaryota; Metazoa; Chordata; Mammalia; Artiodactyla; Bovidae.
GAUCUGGUGGCUCAGAGGGUAAAGCGUCUGCCUGCAAUGCUGGAGGCCUGGGUUUGAUCCCUGGAUCA